UCUUUAAAAGUGAUAAAAUGCUAUUGGUUGGAAAUUGAUAAAUUAAUAAAAAAUGAUUGAUUCUAAUUGCGCGAAAAUAUGUUGCUCUAAAGACCCAAACCGAAAAGAAUGCCUAAAGUGGUUUUCAAAAGAUGAAUUGACGAAUUUCUUAAUUCUUUUUGUUUCGUUGUGAUAAUUUGUCGUAUGAGAACGCUAACGAGAAAAAACUUUUUAAA
Hydra vulgaris (swiftwater hydra) is the source of this 215-nucleotide non-coding RNA. Lineage: Eukaryota; Metazoa; Cnidaria; Hydrozoa; Anthoathecata; Hydridae. The record is from RefSeq and is a predicted model, not a curated record.